UGAGGAAUAUUGGACAAUGGGCGCAAGCCUGAUCCAGCCAUGCCGCGUGCAGGAUGACGGUCCUAUGGAUUGUAAACUGCUUUUGUACAGGAAGAAACAGUUCUACGUGUAGAACCUUGACGGUACUGUAAGAAUAAGGAUCGGCUAACUCCGUGCCAGCAGCCGCGGUAAUACGGAGGAUCCAAGCGUUAUCCGGAAUCAUUGGGUUUAAAGGGUCCGUAGGCGGUUAGAUAAGUCAGUGGUGAAAGCCCAUCGCUCAACGGUGGAACGGCCAUUGAUACUGUCUGACUUGAAUUAUUAGGAAGUAACUAGAAUAUGCAGUGUAGCGGUGAAAUGCUUAGAGAUUACAUGGAAUACCAAUUGCGAAGGCAGGUUACUACUAAUGGAUUGACGCUGAUGGACGAAAGCGUGGGUAGCGAACAGGAUUAGAUACCCUAGUAGUCCCUGAGCGGGCUGGCAAGGCGCAU
RNAcentral lists this ribosomal RNA (467 nucleotides) under uncultured bacterium. RNAcentral describes it as "bacterial SSU rRNA". It matches the Rfam family "Bacterial small subunit ribosomal RNA", at positions 355 to 825 of the family's 1533-position model. The record is from RNAcentral.